Molecule: ribosomal RNA, 807 nt
Filed under: Vibrio parahaemolyticus
Lineage: Bacteria; Pseudomonadati; Pseudomonadota; Gammaproteobacteria; Vibrionales; Vibrionaceae
Description: partial 23S ribosomal RNA
Rfam family: Bacterial large subunit ribosomal RNA
Source: RNAcentral
CCCCUAAGGCGAGGCCGAAAGGCGUAGUCGAUGGGAAACGGGUUAAUAUUCCCGUACUUCUUACAAUUGCGAUGGGGGGACGGAGAAGGCUAGGUGGGCCUGGCGACGGUUGUCCAGGUUCAAGUGCGUAGGCUUAAGAGUUAGGUAAAUCCGGCUCUUUUUAAGGCUGAGACACGACGUCGAGCAUCUACGGAUGUGAAGUCAUUGAUGCCAUGCUUCCAGGAAAAGCCUCUAAGCUUCAGAUUGUAAGGAAUCGUACCCCAAACCGACACAGGUGGUCGGGUAGAGAAUACCAAGGCGCUUGAGAGAACUCGGGUGAAGGAACUAGGCAAAAUGGUACCGUAACUUCGGGAGAAGGUACGCUCUUGAUGGUGAAGUCCCUUGCGGAUGGAGCUGACGAGAGUCGCAGAUACCAGGUGGCUGCAACUGUUUAUUAAAAACACAGCACUGUGCAAAAUCGUAAGAUGACGUAUACGGUGUGACGCCUGCCCGGUGCCGGAAGGUUAAUUGAUGGGGUUAGACUUCGGUCGAAGCUCUUGAUCGAAGCCCCGGUAAACGGCGGCCGUAACUAUAACGGUCCUAAGGUAGCGAAAUUCCUUGUCGGGUAAGUUCCGACCUGCACGAAUGGCGUAAUGAUGGCCACGCUGUCUCCACCCGAGACUCAGUGAAAUUGAAAUCGCUGUGAAGAUGCAGUGUACCCGCGGCUAGACGGAAAGACCCCGUGAACCUUUACUACAGCUUGGCACUGAACAUUGACCCUACAUGUGUAGGAUAGGUGGGAGGCUUUGAAGCACGUACGCCAGUAUG